GCUUAACGCGAAGAACCUUACCAAGGCUUAAAUGGGAAACGACGGAUCUGGAAACAGGUCUUCCUUCGGGGCGUUUUUCAAGGUGCUGCAUGGUUGUCGUCAGCUCGUGCCGUGAGGUGUCAGGUUAAGUCCUAUAACGAGCGCAACCCCUCGUUGUUAGUUGUCCAGCGAGUCAUGUCGGGAACGUCUAGCAAGACUGCCGGUCGCAAACCGUAGAGGAAGGUGGGGUAGUGACGUCAAAUACAUCACGGCCCUUACCGCCUUGGGUCGUACACACGUGCUACAAUGGACGGUACAGAGAGCAGCCAGUGGGUGACCACGAGCGAAUCUACAAAACCGUUCUCAGUUCGGAUCGGAGUCUGCAACUCGACUCCGUGAAGCUGGAAUCGCUAGUAAAUCGCAUAUCAGCCAUGAUGC
Molecule: ribosomal RNA, 417 nt
Filed under: uncultured bacterium
Lineage: Bacteria
Description: bacterial SSU rRNA
Rfam family: Bacterial small subunit ribosomal RNA
Source: RNAcentral